RNAcentral lists this ribosomal RNA (301 nucleotides) under uncultured bacterium. RNAcentral describes it as "partial 16S ribosomal RNA". It matches the Rfam family "Bacterial small subunit ribosomal RNA", at positions 509 to 807 of the family's 1533-position model. The record is from RNAcentral.
CAGUCGCCGCGGGAAAACAGAGGGUGCAAGCGUUAAUCGGAAUUACUGGGCGUAAAGCGCGCGUAGGUGGUUUGUUAAGUUGGAUGUGAAAGCCCCGGGCUCAACCUGGGAACUGCAUCCAAAACUGGCAAGCUAGAGUACGGUAGAGGGUGGUGGAAUUUCCUGUGUAGCGGUGAAAUGCGUAGAUAUAGGAAGGAACACCAGUGGCGAAGGCGACCACCUGGACUGAUACUGACACUGAGGUGCGAAAGCGUGGGGAGCAAACAGGAUUAGAUACCCGUGUAGUCCCUGUCUCUUAUAC